GGUCACGGUGGGCCAGGGGUGGGGGUAAUAGGGAGGGGGCGAGGGUUAAUCGGAAUGACUGGGCUGAAGGCGUGCGUGGGCGGAUGGGUCAGUCAGCCGGGAAAGCCCCGGGCUCAACCGGGGAACGGCGGUGGAGACGGCCCGUCUCGAGUGGGCUAGAGGAUCGUGGAAUUCCGGGUGUAGCGGUGAAAUGCGUAGAGAUCCGGAGGAACACCGAUGGCGAAGGCAGCGAUCUGGGGCCACACUGACGCUGAGGCACGAAAGCGUGGGGAGCAAACAGGAUUAGAUACCCGGGUAGUC
RNAcentral lists this ribosomal RNA (300 nucleotides) under uncultured Desulfurococcus sp. RNAcentral describes it as "bacterial SSU rRNA". The stretch from base 52 to 300 matches the Rfam family "Bacterial small subunit ribosomal RNA", at positions 547 to 795 of the family's 1533-position model. Lineage: Archaea; Thermoproteati; Thermoproteota; Thermoprotei; Desulfurococcales; Desulfurococcaceae. The record is from RNAcentral.